Molecule: ribosomal RNA, 743 nt
Filed under: uncultured bacterium
Lineage: Bacteria
Description: bacterial SSU rRNA
Rfam family: Bacterial small subunit ribosomal RNA
Source: RNAcentral
GGGCGAAGGCGACUUUCUGGACGAAAAUUGACGCUGAGGCGCGAAAGCCAGGGGAGCGAACGGGAUUAGAUACCCCGGUAGUCCUGNCCGUAAACGAUGGGUACUAGGUGUAGGAGGUAUCGACCCNUUCUGUGCCGGAGUUAACGCAAUAAGUACCCCGCCUGGGGAGUACGACCGCAAGGUUGAAACUCAAAGGAAUUGACGGGGGCCCGCACAAGCGGUGGAGUAUGUGGUUUAAUUCGACGCAACGCGAAGAACCUUACCAGGUCUUGACAUUGAUGGACAGAACCAGAGAUGGUUCCUCUUCUUCGGAAGCCAGAAAACAGGUGGUGCACGGUUGUCGUCAGCUCGUGUCGUGAGAUGUUGGGUUAAGUCCCGCAACGAGCGCAACCCCUAUCUUAUGUUGCCAGCACUUUGGGUGGGGACUCAUGAGAGACUGCCGCAGACAAUGCGGAGGAAGGCGGGGAUGACGUCAAAUCAUCAUGCCCCUUAUGACCUGGGCUACACACGUACUACAAUGGGAGUUAAUAGACGGAAGCGAGAUCGCGAGAUGGAGCAAACCCGAGAAACACUCUCUCAGUUCGGAUCGUAGGCUGCAACUCGCCUACGUGAAGUCGGAAUCGCUAGUAAUCGCAGGUCAGCAUACUGCGGUGAAUACGUUCCCGGGCCUUGUACACACCGCCCGUCACACCACGAAAGUCGGAAGUGCCCAAAGCCGGUGGGGUAACCUUCGGGANCCAGCC